UACAGAGGGGGCAAGCGUUGUUCGGAAUUACUGGGCGUAAAGGGCGCGUAGGCGGCCCGCUAAGUCGAACGUGAAAUCCCCGAGCUCAACUCGGGAACUGCGUCCGAUACUGGUGGGCUUGAAUCCGGGAGAGGGAUGCGGAAUUCCAGGUGUAGCGGUGAAAUGCGUAGAUAUCUGGAGGAACACCGGUGGCGAAGGCGGCAUCCUGGACCGGCAUUGACGCUGAGGCGCGAAAGCUAGGGUAGCAAACGGG
RNAcentral lists this ribosomal RNA (253 nucleotides) under uncultured bacterium. RNAcentral's name for it is "partial 16S ribosomal RNA". It matches the Rfam family "Bacterial small subunit ribosomal RNA", at positions 524 to 776 of the family's 1533-position model. The record is from RNAcentral.